RNAcentral lists this long non-coding RNA (221 nucleotides) under Elaeis guineensis (African oil palm). RNAcentral's name for it is "long non-coding RNA (EGUI_LNC048272)". The record is from RNAcentral. Lineage: Eukaryota; Viridiplantae; Streptophyta; Magnoliopsida; Arecales; Arecaceae.
CUGAUGCUUGCGGCUAUUGUUGCUGCUGCUGCAUGGCCUGCACUACUUCGGUGAGGCCUCUGACCUGCUGAACCAGUAAGUCAAACUGCUCCAUACUGACUGCCGUUGCCGGAGGAGGAGGAGGAGCCUGAAAAACUGAAGAUGAGAUCGGAUCUUGCGGAGCUCGCUGAGAUCUGGCCGUGGAGGUGGUAGAUCGCCUGGUGGAUGCCUUUCAGAGAGGC